AUUGAACGCUGGCGGCAUGCCUUACACAUGCAAGUCGAACGGUAACAGGUCUUCGGAUGCUGACGAGUGGCGAACGGGUGAGUAAUACAUCGGAACGUGCCUAGUAGUGGGGGAUAACUACUCGAAAGAGUGGCUAAUACCGCAUGAGAUCUACGGAUGAAAGCAGGGGAUCGCAAGACCUUGUGCUACUAGAGCGGCCGAUGGCAGAUUAGGUAGUUGGUGGGAUAAAAGCUUACCAAGCCGACGAUCUGUAGCUGGUCUGAGAGGACGAUACGCCAAACUGGGACGGAGACACGGCCCAGACUCCUACGGGGGGCAGCAGUGGGGAGUUUUGGACAAUGGGCGAAAGCCUGAUCCAGCAAUGCCGCGUGCAGGAUGAAGGCCUUCGGGUUGUAAACUGCUUUUGUACGGAACGAAAAGCCCUGGGUUAAUACCCUGGGGUCAUGACGGUACCGUAAGAAUAAGCACCGGUUAACUACGUGCCAGCCGCCGCCGUAA
This 498-nucleotide ribosomal RNA is filed under the name uncultured bacterium. RNAcentral's name for it is "partial 16S ribosomal RNA". It matches the Rfam family "Bacterial small subunit ribosomal RNA", at positions 30 to 523 of the family's 1533-position model. The record is from RNAcentral.